GAUCAAGCGAAUAAGUGCAUGUGGUGGAUGCCUAGGCGAUUACAGGCGAAGAAAGACGUGGUAGCCUGCGAGAAGCUCCGGGGAGCUGGCAAACGAGCAUUGAUCCGGAGAUGUCUGAAUGGGGAAACCCACCCGCGAGGGUACCUAUGACUGAAUACAUAGGUCAUAAGGAGCGAACCUGCUGAACUGAAACAUCUAAGUAGGCAGAGGAAAAGAAAUCAACCGAGAUUCCCGUAGUAGUGGCGAGCGAACCGGGAAGAGCCUGCAACAUUUAGCCGAACAUUUAGCGGAACGGAAUGGAAAGUCCGACCAUAGUGGGUGAUAGUCCCGUACGCGAAGGAUGAUUGGUGGAACUGGGGUUGCGACAAGUAGGGCGGGACACGUGGAAUCCUGUCUGAAGAUGGGGGGACCAUCCUCCAAGGCUAAAUACUCGUAAUCGACCGAUAGUGAACCAGUACCGUGAGGGAAAGGCGAAAAGAACCCCGGGAGGGGAGUGAAAUAGAUCCUGAAACCGCAUGCAUACAAACAGUGGGAGCCCUGUAAGGGGUGACUGCGUACCUUUUGUAUAAUGGGUCAGCGACUUACAUUCUGUGGCGAGCUUAACCGAAUAGGGGAGGCGUAGCGAAAGCGAGUCUGAAAAGGGCGAAUAGUCGCAGGGUGUAGACCCGAAACCAGAUGAGCUAUUCAUGGCCAGGUUGAAGGCAGGGUAAUACCUGUUGGAGGACCGAACCCACUAGUGUUGAAAAACUAGGGGAUGAGCUGUGGAUAGGGGUGAAAGGCUUAACAAAUCUGGAAAUAGCUGGUUCUCUCCGAAAACUAUUUAGGUAGUGCCUCACGUAUCACUUCUGGGGGUAGAGCACUGUUUUGGCUAGGGGGUCGUUUAGAUCUACCAACCCAAGGCAAACUCCGAAUACCGGAAAGUGCGAGCGUGGGAGACAGACAUCGGGUGCUAACGUCCGGUGUCAAGAGGGAAACAACCCAGACCCUCAGCUAAGGUCCCCAAGACAUGGUUAAGUGGAGAACGAAGUGGGAAGGCGAAGACAGUCAGGAAGUUGGCUUAGAAGCAGCCAUCCUUUAAAGAAAGCGUAAUAGCUCACUGAUCGAGUCGUCCUGCGCGGAAGAUGUAACGGGGCUCAAACCAUGCACCGAAGCUAGGGAUAUCAGUAAUGAUAUGGUAGGAGAGCGUUCAGUAGGCCUGAGAAGGUGAGGUGUGAACCUUGCUGGAGGUAUCUGAAGUGCGAAUGCUGACAUGAGUAGCGAUAAAGCGGGUGAAAAGCCCGCUCGCCGAAAACCCAAGGUUUCCUGCGCAACGUUCAUCGGCGCAGGGUGAGUCGGCCCCUAAGGCGAGGCUGAGAAGCGUAGCUGAUGGGAAAUCGGUUAAUAUUCCGAUACCUUGAUGAAAUGCGAAGGGGGGACGGAGAAGGUUAGGCAAGCCGGGUGUUGGAUGUCCUGGUUUAAGCGUGUAGGCAGAUCUCUUAGGCAAAUCCGGGAGGUUAAUGUCGAGGCGUGAUGACGAGUAGUUUUAGACUAUGAAGUUGCUGAUACCAAGCUUCCAAGAAAAGCCUCUAAGCGAUAGUUUCAUGAAGACCGUACCGCAAACCGACACAGGUGGGUAGGAUGAGAAUUCUAAGGCGCUUGAGAGAACUCGGGUGAAGGAACUCGGCAAAUUAGCACCGUAACUUCGGGAUAAGGUGCGCCCCGAUGAUGUGAAGGUCCUUGCGACUGGAGCAGUAAGGGGUUGCAGUGAAAUGGUGGCUGCGACUGUUUAAUAAAAACACAGCACUCUGCAAACACGAAAGUGGACGUAUAGGGUGUGACGCCUGCCCGGUGCUGGAAGGUUAAGUGAUGGGGUGCAAGCUCUUGAUCGAAGCCCCAGUAAACGGCGGCCGUAACUAUAACGGUCCUAAGGUAGCGAAAUUCCUUGUCGGGUAAGUUCCGACCCGCACGAAUGGCGUAACGAUGGCCACACUGUCUCCACCCGAGACUCAGCGAAGUUGAAGUGUUUGUGAAGAUGCAAUCUCCCCGCUGCUAGACGGAAAGACCCCAUGCACCUUUACUGUAGCUUUACAUUGGACUUUGAUGAGAUUUGUGUAGGAUAGGUGGGAGGCGUUGAGAGCAUGCCGCUAGGUGUGCUGGAGCCGACCUUGAAAUACCACCCUGAUGUUAUUGAGGUUCUAACCUAGGUCCAUUAACUGGAUCGGGGACCGUGUAUGGUAGGCAGUUUGACUGGGGCGGUCUCCUCCCAAAGAGUAACGGAGGAGUGCGAAGGUAUCCUAGGUACGGUCGGACAUCGUACUGAUAGUGCAAUGGCAUAAGGAUGCUUAACUGCGAGACUGACAAGUCGAGCAGGUGCGAAAGCAGGUCAUAGUGAUCCGGUGGUUCUGAAUGGAAGGGCCAUCGCUCAACGGAUAAAAGGUACGCUGGGGAUAACAGGCUGAUUCCUCCCAAGAGUUCAUAUCGACGGGGGAGUUUGGCACCUCGAUGUCGGCUCAUCACAUCCUGGGGCUGUAGCCGGUCCCAAGGGUAUGGCUGUUCGCCAUUUAAAGUGGUACGUGAGCUGGGUUUAAAACGUCGUGAGACAGUUUGGUCCCUAUCUGCAGUGGGCGUUGGAAGUUUGAGGGGGGCUGCUCCUAGUACGAGAGGACCGGAGUGGACGAACCUCUGGUGUACCGGUUAUGACGCCAGUCGUAUUGCCGGGUAGCUAAGUUCGGAAGAGAUAACCGCUGAAAGCAUCUAAGCGGGAAACUUGCCUCAAGAUGAGACUUCCCUGAGGGUAUAACCCUCCUAAAGGUUCGUUCGAGACCAGGACGUUGAUAGGUCGGAUGUGGAAGCGCAGUAAUGUGUUAAGCUAACCGAUACUAAUUGACCGUGAGGCUUGAUCCU
Molecule: non-coding RNA, 2883 nt
Organism: Ferrovum sp. JA12
Lineage: Bacteria; Pseudomonadati; Pseudomonadota; Betaproteobacteria; Ferrovales; Ferrovaceae
Source: Rfam